This is a long non-coding RNA of Heteronotia binoei (common prickly gecko), 305 nucleotides long. RefSeq lists it as uncharacterized. The transcript has 3 exons. The record is from RefSeq and is a predicted model, not a curated record. NCBI's taxonomy places the organism in Eukaryota, Metazoa, Chordata, Lepidosauria, Squamata, Gekkonidae.
GGUGGACACAGAUGUUAUCUUCAUUUUGGUGGAGUGGUUAAGUGUGCGGACUCUAAUCUGGGAGAACCGGGUUUGAUUCCCCACUCCUCCACUUGCAGCUGCUGGAAUGGCCUUGGGUCAGCCAUAGCUCUGGCAGAGCUGUUCUUGCUCAAGAACAGUUUCUGUCAGAGCUCUCUCAGCCCCACCUACCUCACAGGCAGUGUUCCCUCUAAGCGGAAUGAGCGUGAGCUAGCUCACAGGUUUUUAGCCUCCAGCUCACACAUUUUUGUUUUAGCUCAGGAAGGAGGAUCCCAGAGCGCACCAAU